AAAAGGGAUGUGAAAAUUAUAAAAAAAAAUUUGAAAAGGUUCUAAGGAAGAAAACAAGAAAUUUUUAGUGGCAAAAGUUGCUACAAUGGUGGUGAGAUUUUCAGCAAGUGUUGCUUGAGUGCCCUAAGAUUUGAUUUUUCUAUAUGUUGGAGCCAAAAAUUAAAUAUUAAGUUAUAUAAAAUCUUAAGAGUUCUUCUUGGUGUCAUUCUGAUGGUG
RNAcentral lists this long non-coding RNA (216 nucleotides) under Elaeis guineensis (African oil palm). RNAcentral describes it as "long non-coding RNA (EGUI_LNC081541)". The record is from RNAcentral. Lineage: Eukaryota; Viridiplantae; Streptophyta; Magnoliopsida; Arecales; Arecaceae.